RNAcentral lists this ribosomal RNA (253 nucleotides) under uncultured bacterium. Its description in RNAcentral is "partial 16S ribosomal RNA". It matches the Rfam family "Bacterial small subunit ribosomal RNA", at positions 524 to 776 of the family's 1533-position model. The record is from RNAcentral.
UACGUAGGAGACGAGCGUUGUCCGGAAUUACUGGGCGUAAAGCGCGUGUAGGCGGAUGGGCAAGUCUGCUGUGAAAGCUCCUGGCUUAACCGGGAGUGGUCGGUGGAAACUGCCAAUCUGGAGGACGGUAGAGGUAGGUAGAAUUCCCGGUGUAGUGGUGAAAUGCGUAGAGAUCGGGAGGAAUACCUGUGGCGAAGGCGGCCUACUGGGCCGGACCUGACGCUGAGACGCGAAAGCGUGGGGAGCAAACAGG